UCUCCUGAGGAAGCAAUCCUGCCAUUGGAUGCCAUUUGACUUCAGCCUGAAAGCCACUUUCCUGGGGUUCCGGACUACUAGGCUACGAAGGAUGUUCCGGACUAGCUGGUGUCCGCAGUCCUGUGUCUGGCUCAGUCCAGAUCCACGUCUUCAAACAGUUCCAGAGCUGUCCAGCAAUCUGACCUGUCUAUGGUUUUCUCCGUGCAUGAUUUCUUCCUCUGGAGAACAUGCUGCUGUUUCAUUUAUAAAAGAAAAAAGGAAGGAAAGAAGAAGAGAGCGCAUCUUGAUCCCAUUUGUCUUUUCCUGAACUACACCAGCGUUUUGGCUUUUUAGUGAAUUAAUUGGUUUACUUUUUUUAAAUGAAACUCAUCUGUACAGCUUUGUAUA
This 387-nucleotide small RNA is filed under the name Rattus norvegicus (Norway rat). RNAcentral describes it as "uncharacterized LOC102550842". Lineage: Eukaryota; Metazoa; Chordata; Mammalia; Rodentia; Muridae. The record is from RNAcentral.